ACGAGAAGAAGUAGAAAAAUCUCACAAACCCAACCCAGAAGUUGCUCUUUUUCCAAUCCUCCUUAUUAUUGAACUUCAAUUACAAUUUAUUUUUGUUUUAAAAAAAAUCUGAAGCUAUGUGUUGUGGGCAGCAUCCAUCGUUUGAAAGAGAUAGGGUUAACAACGAUGAUCAUUCAGCCUUGGUGCUCGAAAAUCUCCGCGAUCGGCUCGCCGACACCGAAGCUCGGCUUGCUCGCGCCAGGGCUCGUGAAGCCCAUCUCACACGCCGUCUCCAUGAGAUGAAACGCUUUCUAUCUGUUAUGGAAAUCCUUGAAGAUUACCUCAAACGCCGUUACCGUCUCCAACAACAACGUGUUGCUCGCCUCCUCUCUCUCACACCACCUACCCUAUAACCAACCGUUACCGUCAACCUUGUUUACCUGCUUAGAAUUAGAAAAAGGGAGGUAAGAUGGGCAGGGAAGUAAAGGGGAGAGUGGAAGCAAAACUUAAAUUAGUCAAAACAUGUCCAAAAAGUGGCUAUAUUUUAGGAACAAGGUCUUCUGAUUCUCAUGGUAUGCGGAAAAUGUUGAUCAACAUGACUGGAUAUUUGAAAUUUGUAUGACAUAGUGAAACAAUGUUAAUGGUAUCUUUAACCAACAAAACAAGAAAAGAGCAUUUUGAAAAGCAUGUCUUUGGGAUGCUUUGAUUUACUUUGAUCCUAAUGCGGAAAAGUACUGUCUUUUGGGAAGAAUGCUGAAGAGGUUUAAUUAAAAACAUAUACAAUUUAGGAUAAAACUUAGGUGUAUUUUCUGAGGUGCUUUUUGUAUAAUUUUUAACUUAAAAUAUUCAUAUCUACUAUGGUUUCUUAAAAUUUAUAAUUUUUUUCUAAGUUAUAACUACAAAAAAUGCAUUUUAACUUAAUAUCUAUACAAAACAUUUUGAAGAAAAUGCACAUAAGUUUUGUCCUACUAUAUAUAAGAAAGAAUAUCUAUAUUGUGGGCAAAUAUAUCAAUUUUUUGUACCAACAUUAAAUUGGAUUGAGUGAACUAGAUUUAGAUCCUUUAAGCAUGAUUUCAGGUUCAUUUGAACGGAGAAAAUGUGGUUGAGAAGGUAGACCCAUCAAAGGUGGCAGCCGGAUUUCCCGAAGGAGAUUUGUCGAUGUCCAAUAGUAAAGUCGGUGAAUACUUCACAUCAAUAUAUGAUUAAAAAUAUUGUUAAAUAAUUUAAUAAUUUUGCAUAA
This is a non-coding RNA of Cicer arietinum (chickpea), 1219 nucleotides long. NCBI's taxonomy places the organism in Eukaryota, Viridiplantae, Streptophyta, Magnoliopsida, Fabales, Fabaceae. The record is from RefSeq and is a predicted model, not a curated record.